AAUAUUGCGCAAUGGGGGGAACCCUGACGCAGCAACGCCGCGUGAGCGAAGAAGGCCUUCGGGUCGUAAAGCUCUGUCAUAAGGGAAGAAGUCUCUUUUUAAAAGAGGUGACGGUACCUUAAGAGGAAGCCCCGGCUAACUACGUGCCAGCAGCCGCGGUAACACGUAGGGGGCAAGCGUUGUCCGGAAUUAUUGGGCGUAAAGGGCGUGUAGGCGGUUAAUUAAGUCAGGUGUGAAAUCCCGGGGCUUAACCCCGUGACUGCACCUGAAACUGGUUAACUUGAGGGCAAGAGAGGAAAGCGGAAUUCCUAGUGUAGCGGUGAAAUGCGUAGAUAUUAGGAGGAACACCAGUGGCGAAGGCGGCUUUCUGGCUUGACCCUGACGCUGAGGCGCGAAAGCGUGGGGAGCAAACAG
RNAcentral lists this ribosomal RNA (414 nucleotides) under uncultured bacterium. RNAcentral's name for it is "partial 16S ribosomal RNA". It matches the Rfam family "Bacterial small subunit ribosomal RNA", at positions 360 to 775 of the family's 1533-position model. The record is from RNAcentral.